GGACGAACGCUGGCGGCGUGCCUAAUACAUGCAAGUAGAACGCUGAAGAGAGGAGCUUGCUCUUCUUGGAUGAGUUGCGAACGGGUGAGUAACGCGUAGGUAACCUGCCUUGUAGCGGGGGAUAACUAUUGGAAACGAUAGCUAAUACCGCAUAACAAUGGAUGACACAUGUCAUUUAUUUGAAAGGGGCAAUUGCUCCACUACAAGAUGGACCUGCGUUGUAUUAGCUAGUAGGUGAGGUAAUGGCUCACCUAGGCGACGAUACAUAGCCGACCUGAGAGGGUGAUCGGCCACACUGGGACUGAGACACGGCCCAGACUCCUACGGGAGGCAGCAGUAGGGAAUCUUCGGCAAUGGGGGCAACCCUGACCGAGCAACGCCGCGUGAGUGAAGAAGGUUUUCGGAUCGUAAAGCUCUGUUGUAAGUCAAGAACGGGUGUGAGAGUGGAAAGUUCACACUGUGACGGUAGCUUACCAGAAAGGGACGGCUAACUACGUGCCAGCAGCCGCGGUAAUACGUAGGUCCCGAGCGUUGUCCGGAUUUAUUGGGCGUAAAGCGAGCGCAGGCGGUUUGAUAAGUCUGAAGUUAAAGGCUGUGGCUCAACCAUAGUUCGCUUUGGAAACUGUCAAACUUGAGUGCAGAAGGGGAGAGUGGAAUUCCAUGUGUAGCGGUGAAAUGCGUAGAUAUAUGGAGGAACACCGGUGGCGAAAGCGGCUCUCUGGUCUGUAACUGACGCUGAGGCUCGAAAGCGUGGGGAGCGAACAGGAUUAGAUACCCUGGUAGUCCACGCCGUAAACGAUGAGUGCUAGGUGUUGGAUCCUUUCCGGGAUUCAGUGCCGCAGCUAACGCAUUAAGCACUCCGCCUGGGGAGUACGACCGCAAGGUUGAAACUCAAAGGAAUUGACGGGGGCCCGCACAAGCGGUGGAGCAUGUGGUUUAAUUCGAAGCAACGCGAAGAACCUUACCAGGUCUUGACAUCCCGAUGCUAUUUCUAGAGAUAGAAAGUUACUUCGGUACAUCGGUGACAGGUGGUGCAUGGUUGUCGUCAGCUCGUGUCGUGAGAUGUUGGGUUAAGUCCCGCAACGAGCGCAACCCCUAUUGUUAGUUGCCAUCAUUCAGUUGGGCACUCUAGCGAGACUGCCGGUAAUAAACCGGAGGAAGGUGGGGAUGACGUCAAAUCAUCAUGCCCCUUAUGACCUGGGCUACACACGUGCUACAAUGGUUGGUACAACGAGUUGCGAGUCGGUGACGGCGAGCUAAUCUCUUAAAGCCAAUCUCAGUUCGGAUUGUAGGCUGCAACUCGCCUACAUGAAGUCGGAAUCGCUAGUAAUCGCGGAUCAGCACGCCGCGGUGAAUACGUUCCCGGGCCUUGUACACACCGCCCGUCACACCACGAGAGUUUGUAACACCCGAAGUCGGUGAGGUAACCUUUUGGAGCCAGCCGCCUAAGGUGGGACAGAUGAUUGGGGUGAAG
RNAcentral lists this ribosomal RNA (1474 nucleotides) under Streptococcus thermophilus. RNAcentral describes it as "bacterial SSU rRNA". It matches the Rfam family "Bacterial small subunit ribosomal RNA". RNAcentral also lists the same sequence under 1 other name. The record is from RNAcentral. Lineage: Bacteria; Bacillati; Bacillota; Bacilli; Lactobacillales; Streptococcaceae.